CAGCCGUAAACUAUGCGCGUUAGGUGUACUGGUGACCACGAGUCACCGGGGUGCCGAAGGGAAACCGUGAAACGUGCCGCCUGGGAAGUACGGUCGCAAGGCUGAAACUUAAAGGAAUUGGCGGGGAGCACCACAACGGGUGGAGCCUGCGGUUUAAUUGGACUCAACGCCGGAAAUCUCACCGGAUAGGACAGACAUAUGAUAGUCGGGCUGAAGACUCUACUUGAUGAUCUGAGAGGUGGUGCAUGGCGUCAGUGACU
Molecule: ribosomal RNA, 260 nt
Filed under: uncultured archaeon
Lineage: Archaea
Description: partial 16S ribosomal RNA
Rfam family: Archaeal small subunit ribosomal RNA
Source: RNAcentral